AUGUAUUGGCGAAGUUGUCGACUUGAAAGUAAAGUACGAUGAAAAAGUAGAUUGUUUGUAUUGAUUGAUGUGUUGUUUUACAAAUCUCUAAAGAUGGCUAUUUAUAGCCUGUUACAACUAAUUUCCUAACCGACUAGGAUCUAUCUCUAAUUUUAAACGAAAAUGAAUAUUUACAAACACAACUCGUAUCGGAGUUGGUUAUUAUACUCCCACGGGCCAAAUUC
This 224-nucleotide long non-coding RNA is filed under the name Setaria italica (foxtail millet). RNAcentral's name for it is "long non-coding RNA (SITA_LNC003036)". Lineage: Eukaryota; Viridiplantae; Streptophyta; Magnoliopsida; Poales; Poaceae. The record is from RNAcentral.